GAUGAACGCUGACAGCAUGCUUAACACAUCAGCAAUUGAUUGUUGGCGGACGGGUGAGUAACGCGUAAAGAACUUGCCUCACAGGUAGGGACAACAUUUCGAAAUGAAUGCUAAUACCUGAUACUGUGAGAGAGUGUUGCGUCCCAUUAGCUAGUUGGAGAGGUAACAGCUCACCAAAGCGAUGAUGGGUAGCCGGCCUGAGAGGGUGAACGGCAACAAGGGGACUGGGACACGGCCCUUAAUCCUACGGGAGGAAGCAGUGGGGAAUAGUGGACAAUGGACCGAAGUCUGAUCCAGCAAUUCUGUGUGCACGAUGAAGUUUUCGGAAGGUAAAGUGCUUUCAGUUGGGAAGCGGUACCAACAGAAGAAGUGACGGCUAAAUACGUGCCAGCAGCCGCGGUAAUUC
This 406-nucleotide ribosomal RNA is filed under the name uncultured bacterium. RNAcentral's name for it is "partial 16S ribosomal RNA". It matches the Rfam family "Bacterial small subunit ribosomal RNA", at positions 28 to 526 of the family's 1533-position model. The record is from RNAcentral.